CGACGAACCGUAACUGGUCUGAGAGGAUGAUCAGUCACACUGGAACUGAGACACGGUCCAGACUCCUACGGGAGGCAGCAGUGGGGAAUAUUGGACAAUGGGCGAAAGCCUGAUCCAGCCAUGCCGCGUGUGUGAAGAAGGUCUUCGGAUUGUAAAGCACUUUAAGUUGGGAGGAAGGGCCAUUACCUAAUACGUGAUGGUUUUGACGUUACCGACAGAAUAAGCACCGGCUAACUCUGUGCCAGCAGCCGCGGUAAUACAGAGGGUGCAAGCGUUAAUCGGAAUUACUGGGCGUAAAGCGCGCGUAGGUGGUUUGUUAAGUUGGAUGUGAAAUCCCCGGGCUCAACCUGGGAACUGCAUUCAAAACUGACUGACUAGAGUAUGGUAGAGGGUGGUGGAAUUUCCUGUGUAGCGGUGAAAUGCGUAGAUAUAGGAAGGAACACCAGUGGCGAAGGCGACCACCUGGACUGAUACUGACACUGAGGUGCGAAAGCGUGGGGGAACCAAACAGGAUUAGAUACCCUGGUAGUCCACGCCGUAAACGAUGUCAACUAGCCGUUGGGAGCCUUGAGCUCUUAGUGGCGCAGCUAACGCAUUAAGUUGACCGCCUGGGGAGUACGGCCGCAAGGUUAAAACUCAAAUGAAUUGACGGGGGCCCGCACAAGCGGUGGAGCAUGUGGUUUAAUUCGAAGCAACGCGAAGAACCUUACCAGGCCUUGACAUCCAAUGAACUUUCUA
RNAcentral lists this ribosomal RNA (738 nucleotides) under Pseudomonas rhodesiae. RNAcentral's name for it is "bacterial SSU rRNA". It matches the Rfam family "Bacterial small subunit ribosomal RNA", at positions 274 to 1002 of the family's 1533-position model. Lineage: Bacteria; Pseudomonadati; Pseudomonadota; Gammaproteobacteria; Pseudomonadales; Pseudomonadaceae. The record is from RNAcentral.